RNAcentral lists this ribosomal RNA (1232 nucleotides) under Streptomyces sp. RNAcentral's name for it is "bacterial SSU rRNA". It matches the Rfam family "Bacterial small subunit ribosomal RNA", at positions 118 to 1357 of the family's 1533-position model. Lineage: Bacteria; Bacillati; Actinomycetota; Actinomycetes; Kitasatosporales; Streptomycetaceae. The record is from RNAcentral.
UGGGCAAUCUGCCCUUCACUCUGGGACAAGCCCUGGAAACGGGGUCUAAUACCGGAUAACACUCUGUCCCGCAUGGGACGGGGUUAAAAGCUCCGGCGGUGAAGGAUGAGCCCGCGGCCUAUCAGCUUGUUGGUGGGGUAAUGGCCUACCAAGGCGACGACGGGUAGCCGGCCUGAGAGGGCGACCGGCCACACUGGGACUGAGACACGGCCCAGACUCCUACGGGAGGCAGCAGUGGGGAAUAUUGCACAAUGGGCGAAAGCCUGAUGCAGCGACGCCGCGUGAGGGAUGACGGCCUUCGGGUUGUAAACCUCUUUCAGCAGGGAAGAAGCGAAAGUGACGGUACCUGCAGAAGAAGCGCCGGCUAACUACGUGCCAGCAGCCGCGGUAAUACGUAGGGCGCAAGCGUUGUCCGGAAUUAUUGGGCGUAAAGAGCUCGUAGGCGGCUUGUCACGUCGGAUGUGAAAGCCCGGGGCUUAACCCCGGGUCUGCAUUCGAUACGGGCUAGCUAGAGUGUGGUAGGGGAGAUCGGAAUUCCUGGUGUAGCGGUGAAAUGCGCAGAUAUCAGGAGGAACACCGGUGGCGAAGGCGGAUCUCUGGGCCAUUACUGACGCUGAGGAGCGAAAGCGUGGGGAGCGAACAGGAUUAGAUACCCUGGUAGUCCACGCCGUAAACGUUGGGAACUAGGUGUUGGCGACAUUCCACGUCGUCGGUGCCGCAGCUAACGCAUUAAGUUCCCCGCCUGGGGAGUACGGCCGCAAGGCUAAAACUCAAAGGAAUUGACGGGGGCCCGCACAAGCAGCGGAGCAUGUGGCUUAAUUCGACGCAACGCGAAGAACCUUACCAAGGCUUGACAUAUACCGGAAAGCAUCAGAGAUGGUGCCCCCCUUGUGGUCGGUAUACAGGUGGUGCAUGGCUGUCGUCAGCUCGUGUCGUGAAAUGUUGGGUUAAGUCCCGCAACGAGCGCAACCCUUGUUCUGUGUUGCCAGCAUGCCCUUCGGGGUGAUGGGGACUCACAGGAGACUGCCGGGGUCAACUCGGAGGAAGGUGGGGACGACGUCAAGUCAUCAUGCCCCUUAUGUCUUGGGCUGCACACGUGCUACAAUGGCCGGUACAAUGAGCUGCGAUGCCGCGAGGCGGAGCGAAUCUCAAAAAGCCGGUCUCAGUUCGGAUUGGGGUCUGCAACUCGACCCCAUGAAGUCGGAGUUGCUAGUAAUCGCAGAUCAGCAUUG